AUUGAACGCUGGCGGCAGGCCUAACACAUGCAAGUCGAACGGGUGGCGGACGGGUGAGUAAUGUCUGGGAAACUGCCUGCUGGAGGGGGAUAACUACUGGAAACGGUAGCUAAUACCUCAUACCAUCAGGUGUGCCCAGCUGGGAUUAGCUAGUAGGUGGGGUAACGGCUCACCUGGGCGACGGUCCCUCGCUGGUCUGGGAGGAUGACCAGCCACACUGGAACUGAGACACGGUCCAGAGUCCUACGGGAGGCAGCAGUGGGGAAUAUGGCACAAUGGGCGCAAGCCUGAUGCAGCCAUGGCGCGUGUAUGAAGAAGGCCUUCGGGUUGUAAAGUACUUUCAGCGGGGAUGCGUUACCCGCAGAAGAAGCACCGGCUAACUACGUGCCAGCAGCCGCGGUAAUUC
RNAcentral lists this ribosomal RNA (406 nucleotides) under uncultured bacterium. RNAcentral describes it as "partial 16S ribosomal RNA". It matches the Rfam family "Bacterial small subunit ribosomal RNA", at positions 30 to 526 of the family's 1533-position model. The record is from RNAcentral.